AUGUCCGUGGAACGUGCACGGAAAGGUUUUCGGAAAACGGAACCGUUGGUCGCAGGUUCGAAUCCUGCCGGGUAUA
RNAcentral lists this transfer RNA (76 nucleotides) under Planctomycetia bacterium. RNAcentral's name for it is "tRNA-OTHER". Lineage: Bacteria; Pseudomonadati; Planctomycetota; Planctomycetia. The record is from RNAcentral.